RNAcentral lists this ribosomal RNA (2905 nucleotides) under Kudoa akihitoi. RNAcentral's name for it is "eukaryotic LSU rRNA". It matches the Rfam family "Eukaryotic large subunit ribosomal RNA", at positions 1 to 2614 of the family's 3401-position model. Lineage: Eukaryota; Metazoa; Cnidaria; Myxozoa; Multivalvulida; Kudoidae. The record is from RNAcentral.
UAGGCCUCAGCUCAGGCAAGACUACCUGCUGAACUUAAGCAUAUCAGUAAGCAGAGGAAAAGAAAACAACUGUGAUUCCCUUAGUAACUGCGAGUGAAGCGGGACAAGCCCAUCGUUUAAUCUUCCCGGACUAUGGUCGGGACGACGUGUAACGGUAUGGAUAGGCUCUCUAUCAACGACGUCUGGUCAAAGUCCUCCGGAUUGAGGUGCCAGAGAGGGUGACAGCCCCGUGUGUGACUGGACCGAGUUGAGUACGUGGCCGAUUCCGAGAGUCGGGUUGUUUGGGACUGCAACCUAAAGCAGGUGGUAAACUCCACCCAAGGCUAAAUAUGGACACGAAUCCGAUAGCGAACAAGUACUGUGAAGGAAAGUUGAAAAGAACUCUGAAAAGAGAGUUAAAAGUACGUGAAACCGCUAACGGGGAAGCGGAAGGCAGUGUCGAGAUUGAGUGGGUGAGUCGUUUCUAAAUGUUCACGGACUAUACRGUGUAAUGARCGUUUGGAUCGGCUAGCUCCGCUCGAUGCGUCAGGACUAUUGGUGUGCGAUGGCUCAAUUGUCGGCUCGGCCGUCGCGAAACUACCUCAWGCGAUUGGGGCAGCUCGCGGCGGCGACCGGCAAUCCGCCUCGUGCGCUGAUAUGGAUAAGGAGAGGCGCUGGUGAUGUAGUGUCGGUUGGUGUUGUGUGGUGCUCCACGUAGUCACAGUGUGGCUACGCACGGAGAAGCCAUGGGAUUGUUCAACAACCAGCGCCAGCUCCUGACGUGAUACCUAACCUUCCGACCCGUCUUGAAACACGGACCAAGGAGGCAGAAUCUAGAGCGAGUUGGAGGGUGACAAACCCGACGGCGCAGUGAAAGCGAGAGAUGAGACCCCGGAGCCUCGGCGAUGGGGGCAUCAUCGGCCAGUCGUCUUGGGGCGAUUGAGUUUGAGCUGUAGAUGCUGGACCCGAAAGAUGGUGAACUAUGCGUGAGCAGGGCGAAGCCAGAGGAAACUCUGGUGGAGGCUCGAAGCGAUUCUGACGUGCAAAUCGAUCGUUUGACUUGCGUAUAGGGGCGAUAGACUAAUCGAACCAUCUAGUAGCUGGUUCCCUUCGAAAUAUCCCUCAGGAUCGCUGAGACAAGCGGGAGACAGUUUCAUCGGGUAGAGCGAAUGAUUAGAGGAAUCGGGGAUAUAUUACUCUCGACCUAUUCUCAAACUUCCAACCGGUGAGGGCGUCGUUUACUCGGUGUUGUGAAAUGGCGCGGUGAAUGUCUUUGUCUCAAGUGGGCCAUUUUUGGUAAGCAGAACUGGCGAUGCGGGAUGAACCGAGAGUUGAGCUAAGGUGCCUAAGGACACGUUGAUAGAUACCACAAAAGGAGUCGGUCGAUAAAGACAGCAGGGCGGUGGCCCUGAAAGUAGGAAUCCGCUAAGGAAUUGUCUAAAAACUCACCUGCCGAAUCGACCGGCCCUGAAAAUGGAUGGCGCUGAAGCGUGUCACCGAUGCUCGACCUCUACCACGAGAGAUGUUGGUAGGGGGUAGAAGGGCGCGGCGGUAGCGACAAAGUACAAAGUGCAAACUUGUAUGGAGCUGCCGUCGGUGUAGAUCUUGGUGGUAGUAGCAAUUAUAAAAGUGAAAACCUUUUAGGCCGAAGUGGAGAAGGGUUCCACGUGAACAGCAGUUGGACGUGGGUUAGUCGGUCCUAAGCGGUUGCCUAACGGUAAUUCCAAAGCCAACGUGUGGCGCUUCGGCGCGACUGUUGGAAUCCGCGAAAGGGAAUCAGGUUAAUAUUCCUGAACCGGGCACUGGAGACGCUGCCUCUGUUCCGGGUGCGUGUGAAAGCGCGCCUGGGAGGGGGUAGCUUAGCGGCAACGCAAGCAAUCUCGGAGACGUUGACAUCCAUGGCGGAGAGAAUUAUCUUUUCUGUAUAACAGGUGACCYACCUUGGAAUCGAGUCAUUCGGAGAUGAGGUAAAAAGCCUGGAAGAGCACCGCAACUAUUGCGGUGUCCGCAGUGUGGGUGUCGGCCCUUGAAAAUCCGAGGGAGUGGAUAAAUUUCAUGCCCGUCCGUACCGAAUCCGCAUCAGGUCUCCUAGGUGAGCAGCCUCUGGCACUGGAACAAUGUAGGUAAGGGAAGUCGGCAAAAUAGAUCCGUAACUUUGGGAAAAGGAUUGGCUCUAAGGGCCGGGUCGGUCGAGCUAGUAUUGCCUAGGUUGGUGGGCGCGUGACUGUGUUUGUGUCGGGCUUGCAAAAGUCGGUGCGAGCUUGGUCGGGCGAACGCUGGCCAUGGAAUGCCGGCGUGGGUUUCGGUCGGCUUGCGGGCGCGGUCGGUUUCARGACUGGUCGCGYGCAAGAGUCGGUGGGGCCCUUUACGAUUGGCAAACAUCGGCCAACUUAGAACUGUUACCAACUUGGGGAAUCCGACUGUUUAAUUAAAACAAAGCAUUGCGAUGGCCGGAAACGGUGUUGACGCAAUGUGAUUUCUGCCCAGUGCUCUGAAUGUUAAAGUGCGGAAACGCAACCAAGCACGGGUAAACGGCGGGAGUAACUAUGACUCUGUGAAGGUAGCCAAAUGCCUCGUCAUCUAAUUAGUGACGCGCAUGAAUGGAUCAACGAGAUUCCCACUGUCCCUACCUACCAUCCAGCGAAACCACAGUCAAGGGAACGGGCUUGACUGAGACAGCGGGGAAAGAAGACCCUGUUGAGCUUGACUCUAGUUUGAUUUUGUGAGAAGACAUCAGGGGUGUAGCAUAGGUGGGAGAGUGCGCUGCUCAUGCGGCGUGCUCGGCAGUGAAAUACCACUACCUUGAUCGUUUUCACACUAAGUCGGUUGCACGGGAAAUACUUGUCCCCUUUCACAGGGGGCAGGUGGAUUCGUUGCUAUAAGACAGACCGAUCUGUUGACCCAUCGCCGAUGACAGAAUCAGAUG